RNAcentral lists this transfer RNA (88 nucleotides) under Otolemur garnettii (small-eared galago). It matches the Rfam family "tRNA". From Rfam's summary of the family: Transfer RNA (tRNA) molecules are approximately 80 nucleotides in length. Lineage: Eukaryota; Metazoa; Chordata; Mammalia; Primates; Galagidae. The record is from Rfam by way of RNAcentral.
GCUCCUGUGGCGCAAUUGAUUAGCGCAUGGCAUUUAUAUCAUAACAAUAUUGUUGCCAAGGCUGUGAGUUCAAAUCUCACCUGGAGCA